CAUGUAGGCGGUCUGCCAAGUCUGAUGUGAAAGCCCCGGGCUCAACCCGGGAAGUGCAUUGGAAACUGGUAGACUUGAGUACGGGAGAGGAAAGUGGAAUUUCGAGUGUAGGGGUGAAAUCCGUAGAUAUUCGAAGGAACACCAGUGGCGAAGGCGGCUUUCUGGACCGAUACUGACGCUGAGAUGCGAAAGCGUGGGGAGCAAACAGGAUUAGAUACCCUGGUAGUCC
This 229-nucleotide ribosomal RNA is filed under the name uncultured bacterium. RNAcentral describes it as "partial 16S ribosomal RNA". It matches the Rfam family "Bacterial small subunit ribosomal RNA", at positions 568 to 796 of the family's 1533-position model. The record is from RNAcentral.